UUGUGCGAGAAACCAAGGCUUCGGCCUUGGGAGUAAAGCAGCGAACGGGCGAGUAACACGUAGGUAAUCUACCUUCGAGUGGGAGAUAAUCCACCGAAAGGUGGGCUAAUAUCCCAUAAAACCAUAAAUGCGAUGGCAUCUGUGGUAAAAAGUGGCCUCUCUAUAGAAGCUGCUGCUUGGAGAUGAGCCUGCGUCCCAUCAGCUAGUUGGUGGGGUAAUGGCCUACCAAGGUGACGACGGGUAGCCGGCCUGAGAGGGUAGUCGGCCACACUGGCACUGAGAUACGGGCCAGACUCCUACGGGAGGCAGCAGUGAGGGAUAUUGGGCAAUGGGCGCAAGCCUGACCCAGUGACACCGCGUGGGUGAUGAAGGCCUUCGGGUCGUAAAACCCUGUGGGGUGGAAAGAAUGCCUGAUUGGUGAAUAGCUUAUUGGGUUGACGGUACCACCAGAGGAAGCACCGGCUAACUCCGUGCCAGCAGCCGCGGUAAUACGGAGGGUGCGAGCGUUAUUCGGAAU
This 517-nucleotide ribosomal RNA is filed under the name uncultured bacterium. RNAcentral's name for it is "bacterial SSU rRNA". It matches the Rfam family "Bacterial small subunit ribosomal RNA", at positions 62 to 551 of the family's 1533-position model. The record is from RNAcentral.